RNAcentral lists this unclassified non-coding RNA (240 nucleotides) under soil metagenome. RNAcentral describes it as "partial contains 5.8S ribosomal RNA, internal transcribed spacer 2, and large subunit ribosomal RNA". The record is from RNAcentral.
AACCUAGCACACCUGCGGUGUGUACCUGCGGAAGGAUCAUUACACAAUACAAUAUGAAGGCUGUCCGCAGCUGGAGUAUUUUAUUACCCUUGUCUUUUGCGCACUUGUUGUUUCCUGGGCGGGUUCGCUCGCCACCAGGACCACCAAAUAAACCUUUUUUAUGCAGUUGCAAUCAGCGUCAGUACAAACAAUGUAAAUCAUUUACAACUUUUAGCAACGGAUCUCAGAUCGGAAGAGCAC